RNAcentral lists this non-coding RNA (495 nucleotides) under Pan troglodytes (chimpanzee). The record is from RNAcentral. Lineage: Eukaryota; Metazoa; Chordata; Mammalia; Primates; Hominidae.
GAAGGUGGGAGCGACGACUGCAAAACGGCAGCGAUGGGGGAGGCUUGCUGCUCCUCCGCGGCCGUUACAGAGAGCGGGGCUUCUGCGGCCGCUACCGUUUCCCUGGGGCUAGGUUACUUCGCAGAAGGCUCUGGCCCUGAGUCCGAGGGGGGACUGCGGGGUCCAGGGGCGAUGAAUGCUCCCGCAACCUCCGGAGCUUGUGCGCGUACUUCAGGGACCGGCACCACGUCACCGUCACCUCCUGAGUAGUGAGUUCCCCUCUGAUGAAACCACUGUCUGAAAAUUCAAAAGAGAAGCAAUUCAAAGGACUUCCAUUUACUUAUAUCCCCUCUAAUCUGCACAAAAGGUUAAAUGUAGCAGUGCAGCAGUUCUGGCCAUCAAAAUAUGAUUAUUGUACUUUAAAAGCAGCCAUGAGAACUCUGCUCUUUGAUAGACUUCAACUUGCAACAACUAAGGAAUAAUCCAGUUCCAGAGGAGAUUAGGAGUUGGGUGAGA